This 253-nucleotide ribosomal RNA is filed under the name uncultured bacterium. RNAcentral's name for it is "partial 16S ribosomal RNA". It matches the Rfam family "Bacterial small subunit ribosomal RNA", at positions 524 to 776 of the family's 1533-position model. The record is from RNAcentral.
UACAGAGGUCCCGAGCGUUGUUCGGAUUCACUGGGCGUAAAGGGUGCGUAGGUGGUGGAGCAAGUUUGAUGUGAAAUCUCCGGGCUUAACCCGGAAACUGCAUUGAAUACUAUUCCGCUGGAGGUUUGGAGGGGGGACUGGAAUUCUCGGUGUAGCAGUGAAAUGCGUAGAUAUCGAGAGGAACACCAGUGGCGAAGGCGAGUCCCUGGACAACACCUGACACUGAGGCACGAAAGCUAGGGGAGCAAACAGG